Fukomys damarensis (Damara mole-rat) is the source of this 203-nucleotide unclassified non-coding RNA. Lineage: Eukaryota; Metazoa; Chordata; Mammalia; Rodentia; Bathyergidae. The record is from Ensembl.
GGUGGGGGCUGGGCAAAAGGAGGGAGAGGAGAGGAUGGGGAAACGCGCGCCCCAAGAGCGAAAGCAAACAUCUAGCUGUGGAGGCGCUGCCCGCAGCUCAGGCUUCCCAACAGGUUAGCUAGACUGAGAUCCACCUGGUAUUUCGCAGGAAGGGGGGGGCAGAGGAGGAGAGAGUCUUACUAGGAGACAGAGGGAGGAGAUAG